Molecule: long non-coding RNA, 1591 nt
Organism: Equus asinus (donkey)
Lineage: Eukaryota; Metazoa; Chordata; Mammalia; Perissodactyla; Equidae
Source: Ensembl
GUGCACCUGAGCACACGCACACGGACCUCGGAGCACACGCAAGCGAGGGGAACUGCGCACGCGGGACUCCGGACCCGGUGCUAACCCGGGGGUGGAGAAAGAGAGGGAGGAAGAGCGAAGGCCGGACCUGGACGCCAGCGGGUGCAGCGCGGCCCUGCCUCUGAGGAAAGGCCAUGGGAAGAGGCAGAGAGAAGGCAGCUGUCUAUAAGGCAGGAAGGGAGCUCUCACCAGAAACUGAAUCCGCCAGCACCUUGAUCGUGGACUUCUAGCCUCCAAAACUGAGAGAAAAUAAAGCUCACUUGCUCUGGGGGGAAGCCAGCUGUCUCGUCUUGAGAAACUCAGAUAGGUCUGUGGAGAGCCCCACCUGACAAAGAACUGAGGGCUCCGUCCCACCGCAAGGAAUUCAGACCUGUCAACAACCACAUGAGUGAACUCGAAAGCCAAUCCUUCCGGCCUGCUCCAUCCUUGAGAUGCUGGAGUCGCAGUCAACAGCCCCCUGCCGCCUGAUACCCCAAGGCCAGACUCUCCCAGCUGAGCGCCUCCCUCAGGACCUCUGUGAUAAUAGUCUUUGUUGUUUUAAGCUGGAACAAGAUUGUUUGUCCUGAAAAUGUCCUUAGCGUCACGAUUCUGCUGCUUACACCUCCGUGAUGUUGCUCGCCAUAUCGCUCCGUCCUGUUUGUCCGGUAGACCCGUCGUUGGAUCCACCUGCACCGUCCAAUAUGGCAGCCAUUAGCCCUCCGUGGCUACCAGACAUCUGAAGUGUGGCUGGUACAACUGAGGAACUGAGCUUUUUAUUUCGUUUAAUUUGAAUUAAUUUAAAUUUUAAAAUGGAUAAUCGGUUCGGUUACAGGAAAACUUUUAAGUAUGUUCAGAACAACUUUUUCUCUUGUGAAUUUACUUUUUCCCUUAUGAAUUUCACAAGCUCUAAAUACGGGUCAAGUAUUUCGAGUGGAUAUUUAGCAUCUAAAUUGAAAUACGUUCUAAGCAUAAAAUACAAACUGGAUUUCAAAGACCGAGUCCAAGAAGAAAGUAUGCGAAAUAUCUCAUUACUAUUUUUAUAUUGAUUACCUAUUGAAAUAAUAUUUUGGACAUAUUGGACUAAAUAAAACAUAUUAUUAAAAUUCAUUCCACGGUUUCUUCUUACCUUUUUAAAGUGGUUACUAGCAGGAAAGUUUAAAUUAUAUAUGGGGCUCAGUUUGAACGUCUUGCUAAGAGUCAGGUUGCACUUUUUUGGGAAGACAGUUUCCUGGGUGCUGUGGCCUUGUUCCAGCAAAGGUUCCGAUCUUGUCGUCUUGUUGGGAUCUUAUCACACCCUGACUUAAAGCUCUAUCAGUUAUUAGGGAUUGCAAAGUGGUGAUACUCGUGUUCCGUCACUCUGUCGUUUUUUCUUUUUACUAGCUGGAAUACGCCUAUAAAAGGAAACUUGUUCUGCUCCAGCAAGGGUUACCCUGAGGCGUAGUUUGUGAAGGAAAAAGAGGAUAAAUGCUUAACAUUUUCCCUUUCUUUGUUAUUUUUCAAAAUAACAAGUAGCUUCCUCAGCAUCCUUCAGUGGUGACCAAUUAUUCCUUUUAGAACCUUCAUGAGCUCAUGG